CUUUGAUGGAUCACAGUUCUUCACAACAUCCAUCUCUCCUUCAUGGUAGGCACAGACCAGGGUCAGGCCCAGACACAGGAGCAGUAGCUUCAUUUUUGUAGUGGGUUAUACUGUCUCCCUCACGAACACAGAUCGAAAGAGCA
Long non-coding RNA from Perognathus longimembris pacificus (Pacific pocket mouse), 143 nucleotides. RefSeq lists it as uncharacterized. The transcript has 3 exons. The record is from RefSeq and is a predicted model, not a curated record. NCBI's taxonomy places the organism in Eukaryota, Metazoa, Chordata, Mammalia, Rodentia, Heteromyidae.